Molecule: ribosomal RNA, 484 nt
Filed under: uncultured bacterium
Lineage: Bacteria
Description: partial 16S ribosomal RNA
Rfam family: Bacterial small subunit ribosomal RNA
Source: RNAcentral
AUUGAACGCUGGCGGCAGGCCUAACACAUGCAAGUCGGGCGGAUGAAGGGAGCUUGCUCCUGGAUUCAGCGGCGGACGGGUGAGUAAUGCCUAGGAAUCUGCCUGGUAGUGGGGGAUAACGUCCGGAAACGGGCGCUAAUACCGCAUACGUCCUGAGGGAGAAAGUGGGGGAUCUUCGGACCUCACGCUAUCAGAUGAGCCUAGGUCGGAUUAGCUAGUUGGUGGGGUAAAGGCCUACCAAGGCGACGAUCCGUAACUGGUCUGAGAGGAUGAUCAGUCACACUGGAACUGAGACACGGUCCAGACUCCUACGGGAGGCAGCAGUGGGGAAUAUUGGACAAUGGGCGAAAGCCUGAUCCAGCCAGGCCGCGUGUGUGAAGAAGGUCUUCGGAUUGUAAAGCACUUUAAGUUGGGAGGAAGGGCAGUAAGUUAAUACCUUGCUGUUUUGACGUUACCAACAGAAUAAGCACCGGCUAACUUCGUG